CGCACAUUGCGCCCUCUGGUAUUCCGGGGGGCAUGCCCGUUCGAGCGUCAUUACACCUCUCGAGUCUCACUCGGUAUUGAUGGAUGUGCUUCGGCGCACCGUCUUAAUCAAUCGGCUGUAUAUUCAUUAACCUCAGCGUUGUGCAUAAUCUCGCUAUCGUUAAGGCUUAUCCAUGCCGUUAAACUUCUUAACAAAAGGUUGACCUCGGAUCGGGUAGGGAUACCCGCUGAACUUAA
RNAcentral lists this unclassified non-coding RNA (236 nucleotides) under Dothideomycetes sp. Its description in RNAcentral is "partial contains 5.8S ribosomal RNA, internal transcribed spacer 2, and large subunit ribosomal RNA". Lineage: Eukaryota; Fungi; Ascomycota; Dothideomycetes. The record is from RNAcentral.